RNAcentral lists this transfer RNA (63 nucleotides) under Bathylaco nigricans (black warrior). Its description in RNAcentral is "tRNA-Glu". The record is from RNAcentral. Lineage: Eukaryota; Metazoa; Chordata; Actinopteri; Alepocephaliformes; Alepocephalidae.
GCUCCCGUAGCUGUUACAAUGGCGGUCUUUCCACCAGUCUCGGUUAGAGCCCGGGCGGGAGUU